This 253-nucleotide ribosomal RNA is filed under the name uncultured bacterium. Its description in RNAcentral is "partial 16S ribosomal RNA". It matches the Rfam family "Bacterial small subunit ribosomal RNA", at positions 524 to 776 of the family's 1533-position model. The record is from RNAcentral.
GACGGGGGAUGCAAGCGUUAUCCGGAAUCACUGGGCGUAAAGCGUCUGCAGGUGGUGAUGCAAGUCACUGGUGCAAAACUCUGGCUCAACCGGAGGAAAGCCAGUGAAACUGCAUGACUAGAGUGUGGGAGAGGUAGAAGGAAUUCCCUGAGUAGCGGUGAAAUGCGUAGAUACAGGGAAGAACACCGGAGGCGAAAGCGUUCUACUGGAACACAACUGACACGGAGAGCCGAAAGCUAGGGGAGCGAAUGGG